UGCGGUGAGCGGGCUUCUCACUGUGGUGGCUUCUUUGUUGUGGAGCACGGGCUCUAGGCAUGCGGGCUCGGUAGUUGUGGCUCGCGGGCUCUAGAGCGCAGGCUCAGUAGUUGUGGCACACACUUAGUUGCUCCGCAGCAUGUGGGAUCUUCCCAGACCAGAGCUCAAACCCGUGUCCCCUGCAUUGGCAGGCAGAUUCUUAACCGCUGUGCCACCAGGGAAGUCCUUGUUCAUUGUUGGACUAGGGCAGAAAGUAACCAGCGCUCAAAUAUAUGUUACCCACAGACCUGCACAUGAUCAUCUCUCCCAUCUGUGUGUCUGUACAUGUGCAGGACACUGGGGACAGUCCUUAGUGGCCACCUGCCUGCUCCCCUCCUCCAUGCACGUCCACACACUGACCCCUCCUGAGGAAUCACACACGUGCCUGCCCUGAAAUGAGGUGGGAAACAUGUGGGCCUGAGAGCAAAAGUCCACAACCCUGAGGAGUCCAGGAGGGGCCCCUGAGCUGGCCAUGAAAGGCAGCAGCAGACAGGCCCAUGGCCGCCGGCAGAGGCUGCCGCCUACGUGUGAGCCCAGGGGCACAGGUGUGCUACCUACAGCAGGGGGCACAGUUUCACAUGCAAGAGGCCAAGAUGGGAGGAUCUCUGGGGCGGGGAGACAGACGCUACGGGAGACUUUGAUUCCAAAAAUCAGGCAUAGAGAUGCACACCUUCUGGGGGCCAGAAAAUGAUGGAGGAGGGGAGGGCAUUGGGGCUUGGGAAGGAGGAGACCUUGGCUCCAACCGGGGCUCUACCACCAGCUCUUGACAUGACCUUAGGCAUCUUCAUUGGUAAAAUGAGAAGGCAGGAUUGAUCUCCAGUUCUCUGAUGCUGAUGCACUUUUGUAUUCACAGAUAUGGGAGGAACUGGUCAACAGAAGGAAGAGAACAGCCUCUGUGGCUCACCUGGUUGGUGGUGGGAUGGCCCAGGAGGUCCCCGAAUAGAAGGCUCUCCUCUGCCUUUUCAAUUUCUUGACUCUUUCUCUGUAACUUUUGUAAUGGGUCAAAAGCACUCACUCUUAGACGGCCUGGACUCAUCUUGCUGGUUAGAGCCCCAUUAAAUUCCACCCAACACCUUAUCAGAUCCCCUCCCUCCCUCUUGUCCACCCACCUGCCUUUCGACUGGCUUUUCCCCCCGACUUCCUUGGCUGCUGAGCGAGUGGGGAGCCUUUUCUCUGGGUUUUUGGGGCCUCAGUAGAGGUCAGGCUGGCCCUGACUUCAGAAGGUCCCCGGGCUCCUCGAGCAGUGCUCUUCCCUGCCCUCCCUAUCACAGACACUUCUUAGAGGUGUGUUCCUAGUUCGAGGUGUCUCUUCCCCAAGUCAACUUCUCUGAGGCUCUCCAUGCUCUAGCUCUCUCUCCAAACUUCUUUCGUGAUCACUCCCGGAAGACCUUUCCUGAGUCAACUCUUUCUCAUACUGACCUUCCCAAUAUUUCUUGUUUGGACAUAUGACUCAUUGUAUCUCUUUUCAGUCUUGCCUCUUCUCCAAGACUUUCAUUUUCUAUUUUUAUUCUAGGUCUUGUACCAAUCAUCAGAGAUUAAAAUACAGAGCAUCAUCGAGGUAACACCAAGGAGAAAGAGAUCAUGCAGACCUGAUCCCCUCCCCUCACCGUUAUCUCGAUUGAGAAGAGGUUACUGCACGAUCCCAAGAGUCUCGGGUACUUUACCCCUGCAGGUUAAGAUGGCUAAUAGUUCCCAGGGCACAGUCUGGCUUCCUGCCAGGCCCUCCAGUGGAAACGCAGAGAAGGAGAAACCCGAGUGAGGUGGCUGACCCCCGGCAUGCGUCCUGUGCUUCCCAGCAAGGGCCUCCCAGCAUCUGGUGGAUGUGCACAAUUAGUAAUGCUUUUGAGGAUAACGCUUUGGUCUCAUGGAAAAAGGAGAAUUCGUCCAAGAUAAUGUCUGGUAAACUUUGACAUUCCACCCCGAAGUGAUUGUAUACUCAUGUAGAAUCACUAAACAGCUGCACGAUCAUAUUACAGAACCUUCUUCAAGAGCCAGCUUGUCAUUGAAUCCAUCCCCAAAUUCCAGAUUUUCUCAAACAAAAGGAGCCCUGAUGUGGAAGGAGCUGUAAUCAGCCAGAUGGAAAAGAGGUGCAGAUUGCCAAGAUUGGAAGCACCCUUUAAGAUGCUUUGGCCCAGUCCCCCUCAUUUUGUACAUGAAAAAACCGAGGUCCAAAGAAGAGAAGAGAAUUUCCUAAGGUCACUCAGUAGAAGAACUCGGACAAGAGAAUAGCACUCGUGAACCGCAGAACCACCAGGCCAAGGUGCCCAUUCACCUCUUAGAGAUGGACAGACCUCCUUGACCCUAUUCCUUAAAGAAGCUCUGAGGAUGAGAGUCUAGGCCAGAGGGGUAGUGAUGGAAUCUCUUUAGUGAAAAGAAAUGAAGUUGUAUUGAGAGAGUCUGCCAGAAGGAGAAACCUUGCAUCUAUAGAGGGGAGAAGAAGGGAAGGUGGUGGCAAAGUCCAGGUUUUACUAAGCCAUAACUACAAAGUGAAGCAAGAUGAAACAAGUUAUCUAGGUCUGGGACCCUGCUAAGAACCUGCAUCACGGAGGGUUUUCCAGAGGAUCAAACAGAAAAGAGCAAAUAAUGUUAGUCAUUCAACAGCAAGUCUUAAGCACCUACUUUGUGCAGGACGUCGUGCCAGGUGCUGCAGAGAUAAAGAAGGUAAAAUGCGGCAGAGAGUAGUGGUUCCAAGAGCCGUUUUGUGCUCAUUAAUGACAAUGUUUUUACAGGUGCACACACACACAAAGGCGCGCACAUUAAGGCAUGGAGUAUUUCGUAAUGCUCAAUUUUUUCUUUUUAUUCUGAGAUCACAUCCUGUCUUUCUGCCCAUUGUUAAUAUAACUUUCUCAUUUCUUAACAAUAUCCUCUGAAUAAAAUGUUGGCAACCCAA
Lagenorhynchus albirostris (white-beaked dolphin) is the source of this 2929-nucleotide long non-coding RNA. RefSeq lists it as uncharacterized. The record is from RefSeq and is a predicted model, not a curated record. The transcript has 2 exons. Lineage: Eukaryota; Metazoa; Chordata; Mammalia; Artiodactyla; Delphinidae.